UACUGCUAACCAGCAGCAACCUCAACUGUCAUCCACCGACACUCUCCACAAAAAAAGCUGUUGGAUAAUUACUCGCUCUCCCAGUAAAUCAAUUCAAAUGUUCGCUCAUCCAUUGUCAAAAAAUUCAAUUCAAAUCCUCGUCUACAUAAAGAUGGAAACUACAAUCUCGUGUUGUUCACCAUUUUCAUAAAAUUCCCGAAGCACUCGUUUCUUCCCGCCACAGAUCCCUUCUCCCUCUCAGAAGUUUUUCCCUUCUGUUUUUCUACCCGAGACACCUUACCAAGCUCCUGAUCUUGUGAGGUUGCUGCAAAAUUGUAGUCGUUUCUUCUCAUUGUGUUUAUCCCUCCUCCCUCUCAUACAAAACAAAAAAUAAAAUUGAGCUUACACAAAACACACUCAUUGCAAAAAAAUUCUCUCUUUUAUUGUCAAAAAUAAUUUCCUCUUUUAUUUUUCUACUUGAAACGCCUUGCGAAGCGCCUGAUGUUGUAGGUCCGCUUAAUAUAAAUAGCCGAGUUCGUGUGAGAGGCAACAGAACAAGGGGAUACUAAGAAAUCAUUUGGACAAAAAAGGAGACGGUGCCGCAGUAGAGAGAAUGGAUUAUCUUGAAACUAUUGAUAAAGCUGCUUGGAAUAAAGAAAUGUCAUGUCUUUUGUGACCUUUGCAUCAAGGCCAUCAAUAUGGGAAUGAGACCAAAUAAUCAAGGCUGGUUGGAAAUAUUUGCUGAUAUCUUUCAAAGAACAAACUAGUCAUGCAUUCACCAAGAAACAAUUUAAGAACAAAUGGGAUGGCUGCAAAAAGGAUUGGAGGAUAUGAACAAAGCUCAUUUCAAAAAUUGGUGUGGGUUGGAGUAAUGAAUUAGGAACAAUUUCUGCAAAUGAUGAGUGGUGGAAAGCAAAAAUUCAGGAAAUUAAAGGAGCAAAAAAAUUUAGGUACGCUAGUAUCGAACCAUCUUUAUGUUUGAAGUUCGACAGAAUGUUCUCCAACAUUGUCGUUACUGGAGAGUAUACAUGGGUACCAUGGGCUGGAGUCCUCUGUGAUGAUAAUGUUGGUGUUGCUGAGGAUCCAAAUGCCAAUGAUGAACAACCUGAUUUGGAAGAAGGAAACGAUGAUUCAGAAAAGGAUGGAAUUCCUAAUUUCAUCGAUGAUGUGUGCAACAUAGUUGGAUGAGUUAAUAUGUCAAGUAGUAGCAACACACACAACAGUGUAAAGAGAAAAGAAAGAGAACGUCUUGAUGUUCAAAUAGGAAAAAAAAAAAUUCUAGAAUUAGGAUGCAACUACUGUUACGGUUUAAUCAAAUGGUUGAUAGCAUGUCAAACAAUAAUGAUUUCACAUCUAUAUAUAGAGAUAAGAAAGGGUGUAGUAUUCAUGAGGUUAUGACCGAGCUGCACUCAAUAGGAGUUCAUAUUAGUGAUGAUUUUCAUGCGUAUGCUACUGAAUUCUUAUGUAUGAGAAGGAAUAAAGAAAUGUGGUCAACUAUUGGUAGUCUUGAAAACAAGAUGCAAUGGUUGCAAAUAAUGUUAACAUGGCGUAAAGCACCUUAGACAGAGAGAGAUCUGAAGAUGAUAAUCAGCUAGAAUUGUUAGGGAUCCUAGUUGUAAUUUUAGCAAUUCUCAUCUGACAUAGAGAGACUGUCUGCAAGUUCUGUUUUUCAAUUAU
This is a long non-coding RNA of Populus euphratica (Euphrates poplar), 1656 nucleotides long. RefSeq lists it as uncharacterized. Lineage: Eukaryota; Viridiplantae; Streptophyta; Magnoliopsida; Malpighiales; Salicaceae. The record is from RefSeq and is a predicted model, not a curated record. The transcript has 6 exons.